CGUAGGGGGCAAGCGUUGUCCGGAAUUAUUGGGCGUAAAGGGCGCGUAGGCGGAUAGUUAAGUCCGGUGUGAAAGAUCAGGGCUCAACCCUGAGAGUGCAUCGGAAACUGGUUAUCUUGAGGACAGGAGAGGAAAGUGGAAUUCCACGUGUAGCGGUGAAAUGCGUAGAUAUGUGGAGGAACACCAGUGGCGAAGGCGACUUUCUGGACUGUAACUGACGCUGAGGCGCGAAAGCGUGGGGAGCAAACAGGAUUAGAUACCCUGGUAGUCCACGCUGUAAACGAUGAGUGCUAGGUGUAGAGGGUAUCGACCCCUUCUGUGCCGCAGUUAACACAAUAAGCACUCCGCCUGGGGAGUACGGCCGCAAGGUUG
This 372-nucleotide ribosomal RNA is filed under the name uncultured organism. RNAcentral's name for it is "bacterial SSU rRNA". It matches the Rfam family "Bacterial small subunit ribosomal RNA", at positions 526 to 896 of the family's 1533-position model. The record is from RNAcentral.